RNAcentral lists this ribosomal RNA (425 nucleotides) under uncultured bacterium. Its description in RNAcentral is "partial 16S ribosomal RNA". It matches the Rfam family "Bacterial small subunit ribosomal RNA", at positions 354 to 796 of the family's 1533-position model. The record is from RNAcentral.
GUGGGGAAUCUUGCGCAAUGGGCGAAAGCCUGACGCAGCCAUGCCGCGUGAAUGAUGAAGGUCUUAGGAUUGUAAAAUUCUUUCACCGGGGACGAUAAUGACGGUACCCGGAGAAGAAGCCCCGGCUAACUUCGUGCCAGCAGCCGCGGUAAUACGAAGGGGGCUAGCGUUGCUCGGAAUUACUGGGCGUAAAGGGCGCGUAGGCGGAUCGUUAAGUCAGGGGUGAAAUCCCAGAGCUCAACUCUGGAACUGCCCUUGAUACUGGCGAUCUUGAGUGUGAGAGAGGUAUGUAGAACUCCGAGUGUAGAGGUGAAAUUCGUAGAUAUUCGGAAGAACACCAGUGGCGAAGGCGACAUACUGGCUCAGUACUGACGCUGAGGCGCGAAAGCGUGGGGAGCAAACAGGAUUAGAAACCCGGGUAGUCC